CUGAAGGUUAAAGAAUGACAGUGCUUAGCAGUCUGCUCUGAAAAAUACUGUAAUCUUUGAUCCAGCAUUCAGCAUUCAGCUAUAGUGUUGAAGCCAAUGUGAGGACCCCUGUAUAUGCUGAGCUCUACGGAAAAUUAAGCAAAAUAGAGAGGUACAGCAUUUAGAAAUGCUAGCAGUGGGGUAAAGAAAAGAUCAUGGGAUUUGGGAUUGCACAGAGUCCAGUGGUGCACUGAUUUUGCUGAUUAAACUGAUAAAUAAUGAACUCAAAAUGUUUUAGGCAGCUGUUAGUGUCAGAGAUCAGAUUAAUCUUCAGCAUGAAAGAGAGAAGAUAUUCAAGUUUACAGCACUCCGGAGCAGUGAUAUCCCUGUAGAAGACAUGAAAAACUCUUCUCUAUGGCUCCUGGAUGCUUACAUAACGUUCAAUUAUGCAUAAUAUCAACACUCGUGUUUCAAGACUUUUGGGAAGACUAAUAACAAGGAAAAGAGGGGGAAGAGGGCAGGGAGGGAAGAAAGAAGAGAUUUCCCAUAGAAAUAAAUUGAUUGCAUUGUACUGAGCAUUGGAGGUGGAUCCUACACAUGAUCCUUUUCCCAGCUCCUCUGAUGGCUCCAUGUGCAUUUUUCAGAUUGCCAUUUGACUUUUUUUUGUCUUUUAUUAUCCUGACUGUAAAAGAGUAAAGGAAUUACUUGUUCAUACAAGCCGGAUGAUAGUUAUCUAAGUUUUAGUCACAUGAACAGAAUUACACUAUUUUAUUAUCAGUUGAUUGAGCUUUCAAAGCUGAGUAGUAGUUUCAGUGGUGUUAUUCAAAGUAUUUUAUAAUAACAGUCUAUAAUAAUCUAUUAGACAAGUAUUAGUCACAUGUAAGCACUAUUUCGGAAUUUUCAUUUACUUUGUACCUUAUUAAGAAUGAAUCAAUAUCUUUUUGGGGCUGCUUUGUCUGUUCACCUGUUGAGUAAAAUCAAAUAUCACUUGUGUAAAUAAGACUUCAAAGCAGAUUUUCAGGUAAAAGAAACUGCUUUUAGGAAUCAUGAGCAAUUUAACCAAGAACUCUGAAGCAUGAGAAUAUUACAAGAAGAUACCGAAAACAGAAAUAUAAGUGCAAUUCACAUAUACUGUAAUUAUGGAGCUUUUUUGCUGUGUUUGUUUUGAAUCAUGUGGAUGAGAGAUGAAUAGGAAUUUUGCCACUUUCUAUCUGUUUAAAUCUUGCCCAAAUCAGUGCCUGGGAUCUUGAAGCUCACUUGCUUGUAGAAAAUUAGAACAAUUAUUCAGAAAAUUAAAGUUGAACUUUGAAUGAGGAAAACUUCAACACAGAGAUGAAGUAUGACAUUAUUAAGCUUACUAGUGAAAUUCAUUGAAAUACUCUUCAACAGAUUUGGGGAUUUUUUGUUUGUUUUUGUUUUUUGUUUUUACUUCUUUACAUUAUAUAAAAAUAAAUUUGUUUAACACUCAGCCUUUUCUAAUUCCAGUCUUUUAAUGUUAGUCAGGUUAGGAGGAUAACGUAUAAUAUUCUGUACUUCUACUGUCCAUAUUGUACUUUAAGAAGCUUAACAUUUGUUUCCUAUAAGCACCUUUUCCAUGUUAAUUUUCAGUUUCAAAUUCACUAAUGAAAAUGCACAAAUUUAUAUAAUUUCUGACUCAGAAAUGUCUAUAUUCUCCUUUAUACUCACUAACGUUAAUAACUAUGAGACAUGCAUGCAUGAGAAAAAGAAAAAAAAGAAGGCUGGAAGGCACUUUUUCUAUUAGAUAUCACUGUGACACAUGAAACAGAUGAAAAGUUGAAUUGAUUAGAGGAUACAUAAAUGUUUUUAAAUAUGAUUUUGUAAAUAAAGUAGUAUUUUAAUUUUGUAAAAAUUAUCAUUGAACUCCUAUUGAACUUUUAUCUGAAUAGUUCUAUACCUCUUUGAAAAUCUCUUUGAAACUUUGUGUGGUGCAUCUCAGAUCUAAAAUUCUACCUUCCUUUCAUGACUAUCUGUACAUCAAAGGGAAGGAGAAAUGGUAUCAUCAUUUUAUUCUGCUACUAUGAAGGACAAAAAUUUGUCUGAUGGUAGAACAGUAGGAAGAAAAGUGACAGUGACACCUCAGGUUGAAAAAGGGAAAGCUACAAGAAAGUGUAUUCAUGGUUUCAGCUUUGACUCCACUGUGACAUAAUUGCCAUGAAUAUCUUUCAUAACAUACACUAGAGAAAAGGUAUUAAAGCGGUAUACAAAGACCUGUGUAGAAAUGGAAUUUGCAGAUUCUCUUAACUUCAUCAAACAAAAUCAAUUUCCAUGGGACAUUUCAAAGGCACUUCUCAAUGAAGGUCAACUUUCUGCUUUCUUUUCUGUUUUGGCACAUAAUUCAUUUAAAACCUGGAAUGAGAAGAAAGCAAAACUCAAUAGCAUGUACUUACAGGAUUUCAUCUUCUAUAACUAUAAGUAAUUUUAAGCAAGAAAUACAGAAGCUGAGAUCAUUGUUAGAAAACACUAAAAAUAAAGAAAUUAAUAAAGUAAAAGAAAAAAUAGAAAGGCUUUGGAAUUCUGUGUCUGUCAGAUGAGUUCUAUGAAUGGAACUUGAAAAAUACAUAGAGUAUUUAUAUGAUGUAGUGAUAUUCAGUAUAUUUUUACUCUUUUUUUUUUUUUUUUUAAAUAUGAUGUCUACCUUUCCUGACCCAAAAGGUGGUGGGAUUUAAAAUUUUGGUAAAAUUACUGAAGUUCUAAUAAAAAAUUACUCAACUCUGCUCAUGUUUAAUUUCAGACUUGCAAUAUCUUUGCUGUUUACACAAUUUUUACUCUUGCCAACAUGAAGUCAAUACGAUCUUGUUAAAGUGGCGUGUCAAUGGUUUGUGGGCUGGUUUGGCCUGGUUCCAUGACUAGCGGGGUGGAGGGACCUGCGGAUCCACGCCCCGGAAAGGACUUAGGUAAAAAAGGGAAAAAAGGGUAGAGAGAUGGGCCUAAAAAAAAAAAAAAAAAGCAAAACAGUGGCAAUGAUGAGAAACUGAUGAGAAACAAACUAUUUUACUAAGUCAGAUAUCAGAAUGCAAGAUAACACUCUAUAAUACAAUAUAAUUAGAAUUGGAACUAAUAAAUCAAAUAUAAUGAGAGAGAGUGUCCAAAAGCCGAAGACCUUACUACAUUGCUGUGACAAGAUGGCACCCGCGACAGAGAUGGUUGGGAAAAAAAAGGAUGUCAGGUGACCUACCAAGGCCUUUUAUCUGUUCCCCCUGAGCAGAAAUGAUAACAUAACAGUGAACACUCCUCCGAGGAAUGUAGUAGUUCUUCUCUUCCGGGACAGGUACCUGGACCUGGAGCAUUAACUCUUUAAUUCCCGGUGCACUACAUGAUGCUAUAAUGUGGAAUACUGAUAACCAAAAAUCUUAAAACCAUGACAUGGCAAUAAGCUGAAAAAUAAUACCAACUGUAUUAAUGGAAACACUACAACUUAUUUUUCUUUUCAAGGCUUGUUUUCAAAAUUUUAGAAUUCUUUACAUGGAUUUGUAUUUGCUUGUGUUGGACAUGGUGUGAUGGGACUUCAGCAUUUAUCACCAGCUACUGAUAAGCAUGUUCUGAAUUUUGGCAAAUUCCUCUAAACCUAGAUACUUUGGCAUUUUGCAUCAAUUGUAUUCUUCAUUUUGAAAGGUAUCUGUGAUAGUCAUGCAACUGUUACUCAGUUUGCUUACCCCACACGGAUUGUAUAGCUAAUAUUCAAACAACUUCUUAACUUGCAUUUGACUUGCAUGGUAUGUAAGAGCAUCUUUUUUGAGCAGAUUGGCUUGUAUUUGUAGGUAGCACUUUGACACAAUAUUUUUGAAU
Molecule: long non-coding RNA, 3786 nt
Organism: Gallus gallus (chicken)
Lineage: Eukaryota; Metazoa; Chordata; Aves; Galliformes; Phasianidae
Source: Ensembl